This 497-nucleotide ribosomal RNA is filed under the name uncultured bacterium. Its description in RNAcentral is "partial 16S ribosomal RNA". It matches the Rfam family "Bacterial small subunit ribosomal RNA", at positions 28 to 507 of the family's 1533-position model. The record is from RNAcentral.
GAUGAACGCUGGCGGCGUGCCUAAUACAUGCAAGUCGAGCGAACAGAUAAGGAGCUUGCUCCUUUGACGUUAGCGGCGGACGGGUGAGUAACACGUGGGUAACCUACCUAUAAGACUGGAAUAACUCCGGGAAACCGGGGCUAAUGCCGGAUAACAUUUAGAACCGCAUGGUUCUAAAGUGAAAGAUGGUUUUGCUAUCACUUAUAGAUGGACCCGCGCCGUAUUAGCUAGUUGGUAAGGUAACGGCUUACCAAGGCAACGAUACGUAGCCGACCUGAGAGGGUGAUCGGCCACACUGGAACUGAGACGCCGUCCAGGCUCCUACGGGAGGCAGCAGUAGGGAAUCUUCCGCAGUGGGCGGAAGCCUGACGGAGCAACGCCGCGUGAGUGAUGAAGGUCUUCGGAUCGUAAAACUCUGUUAUUAGGGAAGAACAAAUGUGUAAGUAACUGUGCACGUCUUGACGGUACCUAAUCAGAAAGCCACGGCUAACUACGUG